Molecule: unclassified non-coding RNA, 335 nt
Organism: Erinaceus europaeus (western European hedgehog)
Lineage: Eukaryota; Metazoa; Chordata; Mammalia; Eulipotyphla; Erinaceidae
Gene: 7SK
Rfam family: 7SK RNA
About the family: 7SK was discovered as an abundant small nuclear RNA in the mid-70s but a possible function has only recently been suggested. Two independent studies have found that 7SK RNA binds the CDK9/cyclin T complex (known as elongation factor P-TEFb).
Source: Ensembl
GGAUGUGAGGGCAACCUGGCUGCGACACCUGUCACCCCAUCGAUCGCCAGAUUGAUUGGGCUGAUCUGGCCGGCUAGGCCGGUGUCCCCUUCCUCCCUCACCGCCCCAUGUGCGUCCCUCCCGAAGCUGCGCUCAGUCCAAGAGGACGGCCUUCCCCGAAGAGAGACGGACCGGCCAUUGGUCGAGGGUAUAGGAGGAGCUGCUAGAACCUGCAAACAAACUCUGAGAACUAGACGAGGACGUCACACAUAAAACACCCUGUAGCAGCACAAACAGCCUUGUAGGAUUAGUGUUCAACAACCGGCAAACUGAAUUCAUCAGUGCAUUGAAAGAGU